Molecule: transfer RNA, 73 nt
Filed under: Micromonosporaceae bacterium
Lineage: Bacteria; Bacillati; Actinomycetota; Actinomycetes; Micromonosporales; Micromonosporaceae
Description: tRNA-Gln
Rfam family: tRNA
About the family: Transfer RNA (tRNA) molecules are approximately 80 nucleotides in length. Their secondary structure includes four short double-helical elements and three loops (D, anti-codon, and T loops). Further hydrogen bonds mediate the characteristic L-shaped molecular structure. tRNAs have two regions of fundamental functional importance: the anti-codon, which is responsible for specific mRNA codon recognition, and the 3' end, to which the tRNAs corresponding amino acid is attached (by aminoacyl-tRNA synthetases). tRNAs cope with the degeneracy of the genetic code in two manners: having more than one tRNA (with a specific anti-codon) for a particular amino acid; and 'wobble' base-pairing, i.e. permitting non-standard base-pairing at the 3rd anti-codon position.
Source: RNAcentral
UGGGGGAUGGUGUAACCGGAAACAUGCCCGGCUUUGACCCGGGAGAGUGCAGGUUCGAGCCCUGCUUCCCCAG